RNAcentral lists this ribosomal RNA (274 nucleotides) under uncultured bacterium. RNAcentral's name for it is "partial 16S ribosomal RNA". It matches the Rfam family "Bacterial small subunit ribosomal RNA", at positions 523 to 796 of the family's 1533-position model. The record is from RNAcentral.
AUACGGAGGGUGCAAGCGUUACUCGGAAUCACUGGGCGUAAAGCGCGCGCAGGCGGCUAUUUAAGUUGGAUGUGAAAGCCUACGGCUCAACCGUAGAACUGCAUCCAAAACUAUUUAGCUAGAGUGUGGGAGAGGAAGAUGGAAUUAGUUGUGUAGGGGUAAAAUCCGUAGAGAUAACUAGGAAUACCAAAAGCGAAGGCAAUCUUCUGGAACACUACUGACGCUGAGGCGCGAAAGCGUGGGGAGCGAUCGGGAUUAGAAACCCUAGUAGUCC